UCCUACGGGAGGCAGCAGUGGGGAAUAUUGCACAAUGGGCGCAAGCCUGAUGCAGCCAUGCCGCGUGUAUGAAGAAGGCCUUCGGGUUGUAAAGUACUUUCAGUCGGGAGGAAGGUGAUAAAGUUAAUACCCUUGACAAUUGACGUUACCCACAGAAGAAGCACCGGCUAACUCCGUGCCAGCAGCCGCGGUAA
RNAcentral lists this ribosomal RNA (194 nucleotides) under uncultured Enterobacteriaceae bacterium. RNAcentral describes it as "partial 16S ribosomal RNA". It matches the Rfam family "Bacterial small subunit ribosomal RNA", at positions 337 to 523 of the family's 1533-position model. The record is from RNAcentral. Lineage: Bacteria; Pseudomonadati; Pseudomonadota; Gammaproteobacteria; Enterobacterales; Enterobacteriaceae.